AUUAAAACAGGGUGCAAUGGAAGGAUUACGAAUAUGAGGAGUUCAGUAACUUUCCUAGUAUGCUAGGCUACGCCACGCCAGAAGAUUUGGUGGGCUUGGCAUCACUGUUGGUUCAUCCAUGCAUUUUGCUUGAUAAUAUGAUAUUCUACUUUAAAUAUUCUAUGAGGGCAUUCAUAAUUUGUGAAACUAAUUGGGUCUGCAAAAAAUUAGGUUUUUCUUUGGGGAUUUAUUCGAUAAUUGAGCAUAGGUUUUUUUCUCAGCCUCAUCCCUCAGUGAUUUGGUUAAAGCUUUUGCUCGGCACUCGCAGUGAUGUGAAGCCUUUGACUUGGAAGUAGAAAGGGUAUUUUCGUCAAUAGAAAUAAAGCUUUGCUUGGUUCGCCCCCAAUAAACACAACGGUGCGUCGUUUUAAAUAACUGAGCCUCCUUAAAAGAGGGUCCGAGUCCAUCAAAAAGUAGUUGAAUAAACCCGCAUCUGCUUGAUAGCUAAGCCUGUGAGCAAAAUCAGAGGCCCAAAUGAUGUUAAUGGACAGCCUACAUUGAAUUUAAGUUUUAACCCAUAAAUUUUAAUAAAAAAAAAUUAUUCUUUUU
This 588-nucleotide unclassified non-coding RNA is filed under the name Hevea brasiliensis (rubber tree). Lineage: Eukaryota; Viridiplantae; Streptophyta; Magnoliopsida; Malpighiales; Euphorbiaceae. The record is from RNAcentral.